UUGCCGUGCUAGAUCUCAUUCAAGGUGCGUUUCUAAUAAGGAAUUAUCAAAAUGUGAUUAUGUCUGGAUGUGAGUGUUAUGUUUCAAUUUUCAAAAGUAGAUGUUGCCACAUAUAGUAAAGGGAUUUCAGUCAAAAUGAUUGAUUAAUUGCAAGUUCAUUACCAAAUCAAAGAUAUGGUAGAGAUGUUAAUACAUUAUUGGUCAUUUGGGUUUGCAUAAUAGAAUAGAAUAGAAUAGAAUAGGAGUGGAAUAGUGACUUCUAUGGUCAUGGAAGAACAUAAAUUUGGAGAAUAUCUAUUCUUUAUGAUAUUUAUGCUAUUCAAUGAGCCAAAUGAAGGCUAUGUGUUUUAUGGAGGGUUAGUUGAAAAGCCAGAAAAGUCUAACUAAUGCACAUGCAGGAGGAAGAUUUUUCGGCUUUGUGCAUUACUUUUGUUGUUUGGAUUGGUUUUAUGGAACCAAUGUUGGUUUUGGGUAAUUGAACUUUUGUGCAAUUAGUAUUUUAACCACUUCCUUCCGAAUUCCGAAUUCUGAUCACACUCGAGAUCCUUUUGAGCUUCAAAAUCUUCAACUCCAACUGAUAUAACCUUUUCUUCUUUGUUGGUUAGCUGGCAGCUUGUUCCUUUUAUAAUCUUAAUUUUUAUCACCAUAUCAAGGGUAGUUUAUUGCUUGAGAUUAUGGCUGGAUAACUUUCGGGACCUAACUCUGAAUAGCUGACUUCGAAUCUGAAAUGUUGAAAUGAUCUCUUUAAUUUUGGAGCUUGUACUUAAUACUUAAGUAAACUCCUAUUUCUUUAGUUUUUGUAGAAACACUGGACAA
This 816-nucleotide unclassified non-coding RNA is filed under the name Hevea brasiliensis (rubber tree). Lineage: Eukaryota; Viridiplantae; Streptophyta; Magnoliopsida; Malpighiales; Euphorbiaceae. The record is from RNAcentral.